This 393-nucleotide ribosomal RNA is filed under the name uncultured bacterium. RNAcentral's name for it is "partial 16S ribosomal RNA". It matches the Rfam family "Bacterial small subunit ribosomal RNA", at positions 523 to 918 of the family's 1533-position model. The record is from RNAcentral.
AUACGGAGGAUCCGAGCGUUAUCCGGAUUUAUUGGGUUUAAAGGGAGCGCAGGCGGAGAUGCAAGCGUGACGUCAAAUUUCGGGGCUCAACCCCGUCUCGCGUCGCGAACUGCGUCCCUUGGUUGCGGGAAGGGGAGGCGGAACUCGUGGUGUAGCGGUGAAAUGCAUAGAUAUCACGAAGAACUCCGAUCGCGAAGGCAGCCUUCCGGCCCGUCAACGACGCUCAUGCUCGAAGGUGCGGGUAUCAAACAGGAUUAGAUACCCUGGUAGUCCGCACAGUAAACGAUGGACACCCGCGGUUUGGCCUGUAUGGCUGAGCCGCCAAGCGAAAGCGUUAAGUGUCCCACCUGGGGAGUACGCCGGCAACGGUGAAACUCAAAUGAAUUGAGGGGG